Long non-coding RNA from Anguilla rostrata (American eel), 307 nucleotides. RefSeq lists it as uncharacterized. NCBI's taxonomy places the organism in Eukaryota, Metazoa, Chordata, Actinopteri, Anguilliformes, Anguillidae. The transcript has 3 exons. The record is from RefSeq and is a predicted model, not a curated record.
CACAUUAGAAUAUCCUUGUCAUAAUUUUACCCACAAAAUCUCUUUGUUGUUAUGUGUUUUCAUAGGGUUACUGAGGUUGAGGACAACAACCUGGUGCAGCUGGAGACCAUGGAUGGAAAGCCACUGAAAACAAAAACAUCCUAUGCUUCAGUGAAACCCCUGCAUAUGAGAUCACAAGCAGGCCAACCCACCGAGGAGGCUGUACCCCCUCCAGCCGAGUCAGUGCAUUCAGAUGACCUGUAAUUGCACAACUUUGAGUUGGAGGAGGACCCGCUUCAGGUGAAUGGAAAAGACAAUCAUCAUAUAU